Molecule: ribosomal RNA, 119 nt
Filed under: Brachypodium distachyon (stiff brome)
Lineage: Eukaryota; Viridiplantae; Streptophyta; Magnoliopsida; Poales; Poaceae
Source: RNAcentral
UGAUGCGAUCAUACCAGCACUAAAGCAUCGGAUCCCAUCAGAACUCCGAAGUCAAGCGUGAUUGGGCGAGAGUAGUAUUAGGAUGGGUGACUUCCUGGGAAGUUCUCGUGUUGCAUUGC